Molecule: long non-coding RNA, 1828 nt
Organism: Panthera uncia (snow leopard)
Lineage: Eukaryota; Metazoa; Chordata; Mammalia; Carnivora; Felidae
Exons: 3
Source: RefSeq, a predicted model, not a curated record
GCAGCCGAAAAAGGCGCGGAUGCUUUAUCCCUGGGGCUGCCCUAAGAGAGGUGACCGUACCAGCGGGAACCCGAAGAUGUAUGGCAGAGCCUGGCACCGAACCACCUCCCCUGAGGACGCCUCGUAACUCUGCGGCUCCUCCUGAACUGGCUUGGGGCGGUCUCUCCUUCAGGCCUUGCCCUUGCGAGGACUUAACAGAGACCAGGCCAGCAGGACCCAGUACCCAUCCAUGGGAGCCGUCUGGAUGAAAUAACUUAUUUUAUAAUUGCUUUACUAACUGCUGAGACUGAGACUCACUGAAAGAACUUGCACAAAAUCAACUUUUAAAAGGCAGGCCAGGUCUACUGGAACCCAGGUCUUUAAGCCUUGAAAGACAAUGCAGCAUGCCUGGAAAAAGAAAAGGUUUUGGGAGCAGACACCUGAGCUCAGUGUUGCCUCAGGACUUCAUGCUAGCCCUGGGCCACAGGUACUUCAGCUCACACUGGACUUGGAGCCCGACCCCACCCAGCUUCCCACUGCCAUCUGGUGGUCAUCCGGAGCCCAGGGCCCAGCUCCUGAUGGGCCUUCAUCAACAAUCUCCUUCAGAGUGCUGCAAAGCCUGUGGGCAACCCUACUUCCGCCCCUGAAAAAGUUGGCAUGAGAGAGAAAGGCCCAAUAUCUUGCCUCCAGUAAGUCGGACCAGCUGGGAUUCUAUUUUUAACCUGCACUGUUGUAGUUGACAGCUUGGAACGCCUUCUCCCUCCUUUUCUUCCUGCAUCCUGCCUCUUGCAGCCCAGGGCCCUGUAGAAAGGAUGGAUGGGAGCAGCCUCAGCACUGGUAAACAAAAGACCACUCUCCUUUCUCAUUGUCCUUCACCUGGCCUUUGUCCAGCCUAGUUAGUGGGUGGAGUUAGAGGUGUUACUGGCUGUGAGGUUAACAGAGGCUUAAAUCUCUGGGCUUCUCACUGCAUAGGCGCCUUCCGUGGCCCUGGUCAGUGUCCUGGCAAUUUUGUAUCUGUCAUUUUGUAUUCUUUUUCUUAAAAAGGGCACCCGGUUUUAUAAGCUCCAGGCCCCACAAAACUUGGGUCUGCCUCAUGAUGGGUAUGGCUUGUUUGCCAUCUGAGCUUAGUGUCUACUUCAAUAGGAUUAUUUCUGUCUUGUUCUAAUUUAUUGUAUGACCUUGAACAGCUUUCUUUCCUGCUCUGGGUCUCUAUUUUCCCAUCUGUUACAAGACAAAGUGUCAAGAAACCCUCUCACUCUAUCAUACUUCUGAUUAUCCAUGUAUAUCCCUGGUGAGGUCACCUGUUCUUCCCUACCUGUCAUUGUGUGUGUGAAGGGAUGAUGUUGCUGUCUCUGCCUCUCUCUGGGGCUGGAUCAGUCUCAUAGUCAAAAGGAAGCCUGGGCUCUGGGAUUCCUCUUAUUCAGAUCCAGCAUUCUCCCCACCUUUGUUGCUGGCCAGUAAAGGUGCUUCCAUGGGGCAGAAGCUUGGCCAGAUUCUGACACCAGAGAAGAGUGCAUUAAAAAAGUUCCUACUCUUUAACUUGUACACUUAUGAUCUGAGUCCUGGUAUUUGAAACACACAUUGAAUAAACUGAGUCUUAUUAUACAGUGCUUCCACUUACAUUUCAAUAAAAUUUUAGUAAUUACCUAUUAAUAUAGUACCUUAGCAAUGGCACCACUUUAGGAGAAUGCUUAGGAAUCAUGAUGUGUCAUGGAUAUUCCGCCUGCCACCCCCAUCCCCAGCUACUAUGUAUGACACUAGUGUGUAGGUGGGUCCAGGAUGACAACCCAGACAAAAUACCCACAUCCCCAUUUAGCCUCAGACCAUGGGCAUUUUGGCAGGGGGUCAU